Long non-coding RNA from Mobula hypostoma (lesser devil ray), 150 nucleotides. RefSeq lists it as uncharacterized. The transcript is spliced from 3 exons. NCBI's taxonomy places the organism in Eukaryota, Metazoa, Chordata, Chondrichthyes, Myliobatiformes, Myliobatidae. The record is from RefSeq and is a predicted model, not a curated record.
UGACAUCUGACCGUUCAGCACAGAGCCUCCCUGUAACCAGCUGCCAUCUGCCUGUAGAGAUACAGCACGAAAACAGGCCCUUCUGGCCCAAUGAAGUUGUAAGAUGGAACCAGAGCAUCCAGCGGAAACCAAUGAAGUGAAAUUGUGAAU